Molecule: ribosomal RNA, 198 nt
Filed under: uncultured bacterium
Lineage: Bacteria
Description: partial 16S ribosomal RNA
Rfam family: Bacterial small subunit ribosomal RNA
Source: RNAcentral
ACGCUCGACACCUACGGAGGCAGCAGUCGGGAAUAUUGCGCAAUGGAGGAAACUCUGACGCAGUGACGCCGCGUAUAGGAAGAAGGUUUUCGGAUUGUAAACUAUUGUCGUUAGGGAAGAUACAAGGCAGUACCUAAGGAGGAAGCACCGGCUAACUAUGUGUCAGCAGCCGCGGUAAUCUGAGCGGGCUGGCAAGGC